UGCCAGCCGCCGCGGUAAUACGGAGAGUGCUAGCGUUGUUCGGAAUUAUUGGGCGUAAAGGGCGCGCAGGCGGUCUGGUAAGUCUGAUGUGAAAGCCCUCGGCUCAACCGAGGAAGUGCAUUGGAUACUGCUGGACUUGAGUACGGGAGAGGGAAGCGGAAUUCCCAGUGUAGAGGUGAAAUUCGUAGAUAUUGGGAGGAACACCAGUGGCGAAGGCGGCUUCCUGGACCGAUACUGACGCUGAGGCGCGAAAGCGUGGGGAGCAAACAGGAUUAGAUA
RNAcentral lists this ribosomal RNA (279 nucleotides) under uncultured bacterium. Its description in RNAcentral is "partial 16S ribosomal RNA". It matches the Rfam family "Bacterial small subunit ribosomal RNA", at positions 506 to 784 of the family's 1533-position model. The record is from RNAcentral.